AUUGAACGCUGGCGGCAUGCCUUACACAUGCAAGUCGAACGGCAGCACGGGUGCUUGCACCUGGUGGCGAGUGGCGAACGGGUGAGUAAUACAUCGGAACAUGUCCUGUAGUGGGGGAUAGCCCGGCGAAAGCCGGAUUAAUACCGCAUACGAUCUACGGAUGAAAGCGGGGGACCUUCGGGCCUCGCGCUAUAGGGUUGGCCGAUGGCUGAUUAGCUAGUUGGUGGGGUAAAGGCCUACCAAGGCGACGAUCAGUAGCUGGUCUGAGAGGACGACCAGCCACACUGGGACUGAGACACGGCCCAGACUCCUACGGGAGGCAGCAGUGGGGAAUUUUGGACAAUGGGCGAAAGCCUGAUCCAGCAAUGCCGCGUGUGUGAAGAAGGCCUUCGGGUUGUAAAGCACUUUUGUCCGGAAAGAAAUCCUUGGUUCUAAUAUAGCCGGGGGAUGACGGUACCGGAAGAAUAAGCACCGGCUAACUACGUGCCAGCAGCCGCGGUAAUACGUAGGGUGCGAGCGUUAAUCGGAAUUACUGGGCGUAAAGCGUGCGCAGGCGGUUUGCUAAGACCGAUGUGAAAUCCCCGGGCUCAACCUGGGAACUGCAUUGGUGACUGGCAGGCUAGAGUAUGGCAGAGGGGGGGUAGAAUUCCACGUGUAGCAGUGAAAUGCGUAGACAUGUGGAGGAAUACCGAUGGCGAAGGCAGCCCCCUGGGCCAAUACUGACGCUCAU
This 730-nucleotide ribosomal RNA is filed under the name uncultured beta proteobacterium. Its description in RNAcentral is "bacterial SSU rRNA". It matches the Rfam family "Bacterial small subunit ribosomal RNA", at positions 28 to 750 of the family's 1533-position model. The record is from RNAcentral. Lineage: Bacteria; Pseudomonadati; Pseudomonadota; Betaproteobacteria.